CCGGAGAAUGUUAUCACGGGAGACACACGGCGGGUGCUAACGUCCGUCGUGAAGAGGGAAACAACCCAGACCGCCAGCUAAGGUCCCAAAGUCAUGGUUAAGUGGGAAACGAUGUGGGAAGGCCCAGACAGCCAGGAUGUUGGCUUAGAAGCAGCCAUCAUUUAAAGAAAGCGUAAUAGCUCACUGGUCGAGUCGGCCUGCGCGGAAGAUGUAACGGGGCUAAACCAUGCACCGAAGCUGCGGCAGCGAACGUAUCACCCAAGACAACUUUACGGAGUUGACGAUUGACGGAGCGAAGCGACGUCAAAGCGUUCAUUAAAGUCGAGUUGGCUUAGGGAUACGUUCGUUGGGUAGGGGAGCGUUCUGUAAGCCUGUGAAGGUGUGUCGUGAGGCAUGCUGGAGGUAUCAGAAGUGCGAAUGCUGACAUAAGUAACGAUAAAGCGGGUGAAAAGCCCGCUCGCCGGAAGACCAAGGGUUCCUGUCCAACGUUAAUCGGGGCAGGGUGAGUCGACCCCUAAGGCGAGGCCGAAAGGCGUAGUCGAUGGGAAACGGGUUAAUAUUCCCGUACUUGGUGUUACUGCGAAGGGGGGACGG
Molecule: ribosomal RNA, 594 nt
Filed under: Salmonella enterica subsp. enterica serovar Heidelberg
Lineage: Bacteria; Pseudomonadati; Pseudomonadota; Gammaproteobacteria; Enterobacterales; Enterobacteriaceae
Description: bacterial LSU rRNA
Rfam family: Bacterial large subunit ribosomal RNA
Source: RNAcentral